CGUAGGGUGCGAGCGUUAAUCGGAAUUACUGGGCGUAAAGCGUGCGCAGGCGGUUUUGUAAGACAGGUGUGAAAUCCCCGGGCUUGACCUGGGAACUGCGCUUGUGACUGCAAGACUCGAGUACGGCAGAGGGGGGUAGAAUUCCACGUGUAGCAGUGAAAUGCGUAGAGAUGUGGAGGAAUACCGAUGGCGAAGGCAGCCCCCUGGGUCGAUACUGACGCUCAUGCACGAAAGCGUGGGGAGCAAACAGGAUUAGAUACCCUGGUAGUCCACGCCCUAAACGAUGCGAACUAGGUGUUGGGGAAGGAGACUUCCUUAGUACCGCAGCUAACGCGUGAAGUUCGCCGCCUGGGGAGUACGGUCGCAAGAUUA
This 372-nucleotide ribosomal RNA is filed under the name uncultured organism. Its description in RNAcentral is "bacterial SSU rRNA". It matches the Rfam family "Bacterial small subunit ribosomal RNA", at positions 526 to 896 of the family's 1533-position model. The record is from RNAcentral.